RNAcentral lists this ribosomal RNA (292 nucleotides) under uncultured bacterium. Its description in RNAcentral is "partial 16S ribosomal RNA". It matches the Rfam family "Bacterial small subunit ribosomal RNA", at positions 505 to 796 of the family's 1533-position model. The record is from RNAcentral.
GUGUCAGCAGCCGCGGUAAGACGGAGGGGGCAAGCGUUGUCCGGACUCACUGGGCGUAAAGGGUGCGUAGGCGGUUGCAUGCGUCGGCGCUGAAAUCCCAAGGCUCAACCUUGGGGCGCGUGCCGAUACGAUGCGACUUGAGGCUCGGAGAGGGUGGGAGAACUCCUGGUGUAGUGGUGAAAUGCGUAGAGAUCAGGAAGAAUACCUGUGGCGCAAGCGCCCACCUGGCCGAGACCUGACGCUGAGGCACGAAAGCGUGGGGAGCGAACCGGAUUAGAAACCCGGGUAGUCC